UCAGAUCAAAAAAAAAGAAUCCGAAGAAAAAGAGGCCUGCAACAAGCAUUGACCGACACCUGAUCAAUGUCGAUCGACAGUGAAUCACAAGUAUCGAUCUCUACUUUACUAUGUCGAUCGACGCUAACAUCAGAAGGCAUGUAUGACACUUUACUGUGUCGAUCGACACUAACGUCAGAAAGCAUGUAUGACCGUCUUUCCUUAUUAAGUUUUUCUUUAUGAUUUAUUUUUUCACCAAUCUUAGACUGUAUAACACUAAGGAAUUUUUUUUUUUAUGUAUGGGAGAGGUAGUUACUGAUAUUGUAUUUUAUUUUGAUUUUUAGUGUCAAUUUAAUUUUUUAUUGAGUCAAAAAGGGGAUGAUGAAUUUUUUCAAUUCUCCUUAUUAUCUAAUUACUCUCUAGCGUCAUUCUUAGAUUUACUAAUUGCAUAGUGUACUGAAUGGAAACAUCAUAAGUGGAGAUAACGUACCAGUAACAUCCAUCCUUUCCGAGAAUGUCUGAAUGAACCAAAGUUCACUUCCAACCUUAAUCAACAACGAUCGCAUGUUUUUUGUUCGGGUUUGGUAUACACGGGAAUAUAUAGAUAUUAUGACUAAUUGUUGUGUCAAAAUGGUUAGUCACAAUAUAGUGACGACUUGUUGACCAAUUUGUGACAAAAUUAUUAUGUAGCAAAAUAGUUACUAUUUGGUCACAGUUUUGUGACAAAAUUAAAAGUAACAAAAAAUUGUUACAAAUAAUUACAAAUUAGUGACGAAAAAUUCAGUCGUAAAUGUUGUUAUUGAUUAUGCGGCCAAAAGAUGUCACUAAUUUAUAUGAUUUCUACUUUCUUAAAAAAUUAUUUAAUUUCUGUUCUUAAAAUGACGACAUCAACUUGUAUGGAAGUGAGACAACUUCAUCACAUUUUGUGACUUUUAAUUACAAUUAGUUUAGUUAUAAUGAAAACAGGUGAGUUUCUACUGUAUAUACUUUCAGACGUAAAGACGAAAAAACAAAAACAUAAAAACCAUUUGCUCUUUGCUUCAGCCUGCAAUAUUUUGAACUCUCUUGUCUUCAGCCUACACUUUUCCUUGAUCAUUUUCAAGAAAGUACAUUCUAGUAUACAAUCGCCUCUAUUUCGUGGCUUGAAAGAGACUAACUCUUAAACUUUUUUUUUUGGUUUAAUAUAACUCUAAACUAUUCAUGCUUAUAUAUUUUGAUAAGCUGUUGUUUGAGACAUUGGAAGCAAUUCCAGUCAAGGCGUUAUGCUUUCAUAAGCUUGUUAGAGCUGGUACUUCAAGUAGUGAUUUCCUUUCUUGUAUUGUUCAAUGAUAUUUGCUUCAUAUCAGACAUAUAAAGCGCUGUCCAUAAACGAAUCCAUACAUCAUCUCGAGUCUAAUCAAAGCCAGAUACUGGAGGUCGUUUUUUCAAUAGAUCGGUUGCUCUUCAUCACCGAGUUGGAGGCACGAGGCUCAGGCUCAUCCCUUUUACAGAAGAUCUCGAGCUUGGAGCGGUGGAACGACGUUUUCUAGGCUGAAGAGAAGAGGGGCGGUGGUUACUGGUGGUCGGAGUUAUCUUGGGGUCGAGACGAACACGGCGCCUUUCGUCUAAACCCGAGUGAACUUGGACGGCUCUGCUCCUUCGAAGACGUGAACAGAGUCCAUCGGGGCUGUCGUGUGGUAGUCAGAUUGGCUCUAGUAUGGCAUGUUCUUUGCCUCCCUGCUGCCGUAAAGACAACCUUGUCCACGAAUCUUUGUCCACACAACCUUAAGUGACAACAUCGUUUUCUCCGUCGUUGUCUUGUCCAUGGAUGACUUCAAGAGAUGUAACAAUCAAAGGUUGAAGACGGGACUGUUUGACGAAACAAAACAGAGUCUCCCCUGUCACCCUCAUGGUUGUGGAGCCUCUCAAUUCUGCAAUUCAGAUUUAUUAAUGAUAGUGAGGAAGACGUUUGUUGUUGGAGAAGGACAAGACAUCAAGAAGGAGCUUGUUGUUGCUGGAGGGAUUAUCCUUUUCUUCACAAGGAAGAACUUCAAUAUCAGGAAGAAACGAUCACGUACGGUAAUUAAAAAGAUAGUUUCUUAUCAGUUAUGUGAUUAGCUUUUGUUUUCGAAGUUGGAACCUUUAGUCGUGUGGUGUUUGAUUGGGUACGUAUGUGUUGAUGUUCUUUAUCAAAGCUUAAAGAUUUUAUCGUUUGGGGAGAUGAAACGUGUGUGUUGCUUGAUGUGUCUUUUCUAAUUUAAGAGCUUUUGUCUUA
Molecule: long non-coding RNA, 2233 nt
Organism: Brassica napus (rape)
Lineage: Eukaryota; Viridiplantae; Streptophyta; Magnoliopsida; Brassicales; Brassicaceae
Exons: 2
Source: RefSeq, a predicted model, not a curated record